UGUCCCUUCGGAAAAAACACAGUCCGGUCGGUAGUCCGGGCACAGGCGGCUGUCCCGCCUGUCAGUAACCUGCCUCCUAAGGUUGUCCCUCCGAAUGGAAUUUUUU
Regulatory RNA element from Clostridium sp. CAG:169, 106 nucleotides. It matches the Rfam family "azaaromatic riboswitch aptamer (yjdF RNA)". The record is from Rfam. Lineage: Bacteria; Bacillati; Bacillota; Clostridia; Eubacteriales; Clostridiaceae.